AUACAAAGAUAAAAACGCAACGUACAUUUUAUUGGUGUACCAGAGCCGGUAGGUAGCCCGGCCGUCCUAUCUUCGAUAGGGUAAGUAACCUUCCCCUCCGGGUUGUCCAUUCUUUGUUCCU
This 121-nucleotide non-coding RNA is filed under the name human gut metagenome. Its description in RNAcentral is "yjdF RNA". It matches the Rfam family "azaaromatic riboswitch aptamer (yjdF RNA)", at positions 5 to 92 of the family's 101-position model. The record is from RNAcentral.